UGAUGCUACAAGCUUGGAAAGGUGAACGCAGCGAUCAGAUGGCCUGGAGAUGUUUUUGCCAGACGGCAGCCUCAGUCGUUUGAUGGGGAGACCAUAAUUGGAAACAUGUAUGGAGUCAGCACAUGGAGACUUGCAAGAUGAUGUGAUGAAGUCCAGACUGACAGACAAGCUUGAUACUGAUGUAUCAGAAUGGAUUAUUAGACACAACUUUUACUUGUAUUGUCUUUUUUAUUAUUGAAUUGAAUGGUAUCAGUCAA
Coregonus clupeaformis (lake whitefish) is the source of this 257-nucleotide long non-coding RNA. RefSeq lists it as uncharacterized. NCBI's taxonomy places the organism in Eukaryota, Metazoa, Chordata, Actinopteri, Salmoniformes, Salmonidae. The transcript is spliced from 3 exons. The record is from RefSeq and is a predicted model, not a curated record.